Molecule: ribosomal RNA, 322 nt
Filed under: uncultured eukaryote
Lineage: Eukaryota
Description: partial 18S ribosomal RNA
Rfam family: Eukaryotic small subunit ribosomal RNA
Source: RNAcentral
CCCUUAGAUGUUCUGGGCCGCACGCGUGCUACACUGAGUGGAUCAGCGGGUCAGGUUGCGCGAAAGCGUUUCCUAAUCUUUAAAUCCGCUCGUGAUGGGGAUUGACGGUUGCAAUUUUCUGUCAUGAACGAGGAAUACCUUGUAAGCGCGGGUCAUCAUCCCGCGCUGAAUACGUCCCUGCCCUUUGUACACACCGCCCGUCGCUCCUACCGAUUGAGUGGUCCGGUGAGGCCUUGGGAGGGCUAAGUGGGCUGUGUUUCACAGACUACCUGGCCCGAACCUGGUCAAACCUUAUCACUUAGAGGAAGGAGAAGUCGUAACA